Molecule: ribosomal RNA, 449 nt
Filed under: uncultured bacterium
Lineage: Bacteria
Description: partial 16S ribosomal RNA
Rfam family: Bacterial small subunit ribosomal RNA
Source: RNAcentral
AGCGAACGCUGGCGGCAGGCCUAACACAUGCAAGUCGAACGAAGUCUUCGGACUUAGUGGCGGACGGGUGAGUAACACGUGGGAACGUACCUUUUGGUUCGGAACAACUCAGGGAAACUUGAGCUAAUACCGGAUGAGCCCUUAGGGGGAAAGAUUUAUCGCCGAAAGAGCCGCCCGCGUUAGAUUAGCUAGUUGGUGAGGUAAAGGCUCACCAAGGCUACGAUCUAUAGCUGGUCGGGGAGGAUGAUCAGCCACACUGGGACUGAGACACGGCACAGAGUCGUACGGGAGGCAGCAGUGGAGAAUCUUGCACAAUGGGCGAAAGCCUGACGCAGACAUGCCGCCUGAAUGAUGAAGGUCUUAGGAUUGUAAAAUUCUUUUACCAGGGACGAUAAUGACGGUACCUGGAGAAAAAGCCCCGGCUAACUUCGUGCCAGCCGCCGCCGUAA